UACGUAGGAGACGAGCGUUGUCCGGAGUUACUGGGCGUAAAGGGUGCGCAGGUGGCGGCGCGCGUGGGGGGUGAAAUCGCCCGGCUUAACUGGGCGGGGGCCUUCCAGACGGCGUGGCUUGAGCAGCGGAGGGGGACGUGGAAUUCCGGGUGGAGCGGUGAAAUGCGUAGAGAUCCGGAGGAACAUCGACGGCGCAGGCAGCGGCCUGGCCGCUUGCUGACACUGAGGCACGAAAGCUGGGGGAGCAAACAGG
RNAcentral lists this ribosomal RNA (253 nucleotides) under uncultured bacterium. Its description in RNAcentral is "partial 16S ribosomal RNA". It matches the Rfam family "Bacterial small subunit ribosomal RNA", at positions 524 to 776 of the family's 1533-position model. The record is from RNAcentral.